Molecule: ribosomal RNA, 497 nt
Filed under: uncultured bacterium
Lineage: Bacteria
Description: partial 16S ribosomal RNA
Rfam family: Bacterial small subunit ribosomal RNA
Source: RNAcentral
GAUGAACGCUGGCGGCGUGCCUAAUACAUGCAAGUCGAGCGAACGGACGAGAAGCUUGCUUUUCUGAUGUUAGCGGCGGACGGGUGAGUAACACGUGGAUAACCUACCUAUAAGAUUGGGAUAACUUCGGGAAACCGGAGCUAAUACCGGAUAAUAUUUUGAACCGCAUGGUUCAAAAGUGAAAGACGGUCUUGCUUUCACUUAUAGAUGGAUCCGCGCUGCAUUAGCUAGUUGGUAAGGUAACGGCUUACCAAGGCAACGAUGCAUAGCCGACCUGAGAGGGUGAUCGGCCACACUGGAACUGAGACACGGUCCAGUCUCCUACGGGAGGCAGCAGUAGGGAAUCUUCCGCAAUGGGCGAAAGCCUGACGGAGCAACGCCGCGUGAGUGAUGAAGGUCUUCGGAUCGUAAAACUCUGUUAUUAGGGAAGAACAUAUGUGUAAGUAACUGUGCACAUCUUGACGGUACCUAAUCAGAAAGCCACGGCUAACUACGUG